Non-coding RNA from Ciona intestinalis (vase tunicate), 1168 nucleotides. The record is from RefSeq and is a predicted model, not a curated record. Lineage: Eukaryota; Metazoa; Chordata; Ascidiacea; Phlebobranchia; Cionidae.
UAUCUCUUGCUGGACCCACUCUCAUCUACAAAUCCGAUAAAUGCUGUGAGUGUAGAAGACACUCAAAGUAAGCCUAAUACUUUUGUAAAUGGGUUAAGCUGCAUAUGAACAUUGGUGAACCCAAGAAAAAUGUCUUUCGUGUUAUAACUUAUAUUUUGUUCCGGAGGGUUUGGAACUAUAUAGUGCUUUCGGAACAGUCUGCAACAAUUGUUAAAUCAACUUACUUUAAGCAAGUGACCUGUAUCGGAGCAAAAAAAUAUCCUUAAAAUAUCCUUUUUUGCGAAAUGGGUUUGGGCUGGAAUACAAAUCAUUGUGGCUUAAUGGUUUUCCAUUUAAAAUACAGCAGAUCCAUCAGCCACAAUAGCAUUGAUAUGAGCACCAUUCACCUCACACGCGACAACACUUUCCCAAAACAAAGAUGCUAGUUGCAACGCUGGAGUUGUGGGCCACCAAAACAGAGAAAUUGAAAGUUCUUUUUUAAACGAUCGGACAUAAAACACUGCAAGAAAAAAGUAUUUUUUUAAUCACAUAAGUUAAAAAUAUGGGUGGCAAGUUUGUCAGGUGUCACUCUAUCAUCAUAGGUCAGGUGUCACUCUAUCAUCAUAGUAAGGCCAAUAAGCGAAAAUUUUCAUAACCAAAUUUUCUUUAACUAAUAGUUAGUAUUCCAAUAACCUAAUUUACACAUUACUCUUGCCUUAUAUGAGGAACUAAAUCUUGUUCUGGUAUCCAAUAUUCCAGUGAAGUUUUUCCUGGUAGUUAUUGAUCAUUUGUUUGUAUAUUUAAGCACAAUAUUACAAAUAGUAUAUUCAAAACUGCUAAAAGAUGCUGAUGUUGUUAUAAAUGAUAAAUUGACAUUCUUUCGACAAACCUCUUGUUUGUAAAGAUAAUUUGCUGGUACACUUUUUCUAUGCAGCUAUGGCGAGUUGCAUCUGGUAACGGUUUCGGGUAACUCGUCCACGACUCUUCUAAAAAUGCAUUUAGUAUAUAAACAAAAUGCAUAUGGGUUCAAGAACAGGAGUUUACCUUUACAAGUAUACCACAUUUUUAGGCAAAUACUCAGAUCGAAAUGCACCACAUUUUUAAUUCCAUCCUUGAAUGAUAGGAAAAUAUGUACUCUAGUUUAAAGUGCGCUUCUACAUGCUCUAAAUAAAUUACCGUUUAAACGGAA